RNAcentral lists this ribosomal RNA (449 nucleotides) under uncultured bacterium. Its description in RNAcentral is "bacterial SSU rRNA". It matches the Rfam family "Bacterial small subunit ribosomal RNA", at positions 329 to 792 of the family's 1533-position model. The record is from RNAcentral.
GGCCAGACUCCUACGGGAGGCAGCAGUGGGGGAUAUUGGACAAUGGGGGGAACCCUGAUCCAGCGACGCCGCGUGAGUGAAGAAGUAUUUCGGUAUGUAAAGCUCUGUCAGCAGGGAAGAAAGCAAUGACGGUACCUGACCAAGAAGCCCCGGCUAACUACGUGCCAGCAGCCGCGGUAAUACGUAGGGGGCAAGCGUUAUCCGGAAUUACUGGGUGUAAAGGGAGCGUAGACGGCUGUGCAAGCCAGAUGUGAAAGCCCGGGGCUCAACCCCGGGACUGCAUUUGGAACUGUGUGGCUGGAGUGUCGGAGAGGCAGGCGGAAUUCCUAGUGUAGCGGUGAAAUGCGUAGAUAUUAGGAGGAACACCAGUGGCGAAGGCGGCCUGCUGGACGAUGACUGACGUUGAGGCUCGAAAGCGUGGGGAGCAAACAGGAUUAGAUACCCGAGUA